This 1311-nucleotide long non-coding RNA is filed under the name Sus scrofa (pig). RNAcentral describes it as "lncRNA (ENSSSCG00005001238.1)". Lineage: Eukaryota; Metazoa; Chordata; Mammalia; Artiodactyla; Suidae. The record is from RNAcentral.
GGCCAGAGGGAGAGGGCCCCUGGAGAGUGGAGGGGACUCCCCUCUCUCCAGCGAGCGUCGCAGGGCUUCGUACUAGGCUAGUCCACUACUAGCCCCUAGGACUCUCAAAGACCCUGACCCCCUGAAGUGACCCCCUUUCCUUCUUUCAAACACACUGCCAGGGAAGGAUUUAGAUUCCCGAAAGGCCCAGUUCUUGCUCCAGCAGUCUCUCUUCGGAGCAUGGGACCAGGGCUUAUCACCAAACCCCACGGACUGGGAAACAGAGAAGUCUGGGGACUUGCAGAGUCACAUAGUGUUUGGUGGCUGCACAGGGACUGUCCCAGGUCCCAGUCACCCCUGUGGCUCUGCAGUCCCCUUCCCCACCAAGCUCCAAGGAGGCCCUUCCUCGCCACUACACAGGAACUGAAAGACUAGGCAGGAGGCAAUAAGCAGCCCGCCUCCAAGUCCCAAAGGACACAGAAGGUUAGGGAGGACAAGCACCCUGCACAAAGGGCUGAGGCUGCAGGAAAAGGUGGACCCCGAGCACCUCCUGACAAGGCAAAGGUAAGUCACAUCCCGGGAGAGGGGGGAGGGGCUGGAUCUUGGGGAGAACUUCCAGCUCCAAGUCCCCAUGGGGUACAAAACCACUGCAGAGGGUGGAGCACAGGGCCCUCCUCCCCACCUGAUUGCAGGAAUAACCUUCAGGCAGCAGAGGGCACUCGGGGCCACAGAGAGCAGGAAAAUCCCAGACAUCCCUCUAGACUCCAAAGCCUAGAGAGCAGAGCAGCAGGUGGAACACAGGACGGAGGGCUGGCACCUAACCACUGGCAAAGGGCAGGAGGCCCCACCCUUUCUAUUAACUCAGGCCUGAGGUCUUCUAAAUGAGCUGAGGAGGGCUCAAAUCACAGGGCCUGGUCCCUCCACUGGAGUCUGAUGACACCUCAACCCUCAAACUCUCUCCAGAACAUGCUGCACCAACCAAAGCUCUUAGGCCCACAGCCCUGCGGUCUGAGACUGAGGGGCCUCUCCCCCUCCUUCUGUCACAACUGAAGAACGUCAGACCCCGGCUCCAUAGUGUGGACCGAGAGGGCGUUAGGCUGAAGGUCUUAUAGGAGAACCCCCCUCUCUGACCCUGGGCCUCUGGGCAGACCUGCCCCUUCUCUCAAAGCAGGAAAGGCAGCCAGAUAGCCUGGAGUGACUGGCAGAAUGCACGCUCGAGGUCAGCUGGAUGGAUGAGGAGUGAACCAAUGAGCAGACGCAAGGAGAACCAACACAGCACAGACAGGAGAGGGUGACAAGCACCACCCCGCCACCUCCAGCUAUGGGAGAUGA